AGGGCGCAGGGCGAAUGCCUUGGCACUGGGAGCCGAUGAAAGACGUGAUAAGCUGCGAUAAGCUUCGGGGAGCUGCAAAUAAGCAUUGAUCCGGAGAUCUCUGAAUGAGGAAACUCACUCGGGUUCAUACCUGAGUACGUUGUACUGAAAUUCAAAAUAGGUACAUCGGGGGAACCGCCUGAACUGAAACAUCUAAGUAGGGCGAGGAAGAGACAUCAAACGAGAUUCCGUAAGUAGUGGCGAGCGAACGCGGAAGAGGGCAAACCGAAGGUAGAAAUACCUUCGGGGUACGGACUGCUUUUAGGACUCGAUCUGUUAACCGAACGGCAUGGGAAGGCCGGUCAGAGAGUGUGAGAACCACGUAGGUGAAAACGGAAAGAGCUGCGCAGAUUCCAGAGUACGGCCAGACACGUGAAACCUGGUCGGAAGAUGGGGGGACCACCCUCCAACCCUAAAUACUACCCAGUGACCGAUAGCGUAUAGUACUGUGAAGGAAAGGUGAAAAGCACCCCGGGAGGGGAGUGAAAAAGAACCUGAAACCCUGUGCCUACAAGCACCUAGAGCACGUCAAAGUGUGAUAGGGUACUUUUUGUAGAACGGUCCGGCGAGCGAUUGUAUGCAGCAAGGUUAAGGACUUAAGGUCUGGAGCCGAAGCGAAAGCGAGUUUGAAAAGGGCGUUAAGUUGCAUAUAAUGGGCCCGAAACCGGGUGACCUACCCAUGGUCAGGUUGAAGUGGAAGUAAAAUUCCAUGGAGGACCGAACCGACCUCCGUUGAAAAGGCGGCGGAUGAACUGUGGGUAGCGGAGAAAUUCCAAUCGAACCCGGAGAUAGCUGGUUCUCCCCGAAAUAGUUUUAGGACUAGCCUCAAGUUAGAUACCUGGAGGUAAAGCACUGAAUAGCCUAGCGGCCGAGAGGUUAGCGAAGCUUAUCAAACUCAGAAUGCCAGAGUAUUGAUGCUUGGGAGUCAGACAGUGUCAGAUAAAUGUCAUUGUCAAAAGGGAAACAGCCCAGAUCUACAGCUAAGGUCCCAAAGUCAGGUUAAGUGGAAAACGAUGUGAAGAUACGCAGACAACCAGGAUGUUGGCUCAGAAGCAGCCACUCAUUCAAAGAGUGCGUAAUAGCUCACUGGUCGAGCGUCUUUGCGCGGAGAAUUUAACGGGGCUAAACCUGACACCGAAGCUUAGGCAAUCCAGCAAUGGAUUGGGUAGGGGAGCGUUGUAUACGCGGAGAAACAGUAGCGUAAGCGGCUGUGGAGUGUAUAGAAGUGAGAAUGCCGGAAUGAGUAGCGCGAAUGCAGUGAGAAUCUGCAUGGCCGAAAGCCUCAGGUUUUUGGAGGAAGGUUCGUCCGCUCCAAGUUAGUCGGGAGCUAAGGUGAGGCCGGAAGGCGUAGCCGAUGCACAGACGGUAGAGAUUCCGUCACCACCAAAAGAGUUAAGCACAGGGACACAUUUGAAGUCUCAGAGCCGGGUGUUGGUUCCGGUAGAGAUCGAGGGAAGUUAGUACCGAAGUCUGGGAUGGAGGAUGGCGAGAAAAGCUGUGUGUAUUUCUGAGGUGCCCGUACCGCAAACCGACACAGGUAGGUAGGAAGAAGAUUCUAAGGCCAACGGGAGAAGGGUUGUUAAGGAACUCGGCAAAUUGACCCCGUAACUUCGGGAGAAGGGGUGCUCCAGAGAUGGAGCCGCAGAGAAUCGGCCCAAGCAACUGUUUACCAAAAACACAGGUUUGUGCUAAAUCGAAAGAUGACGUAUACGAGCUGACGCCUGCCCGGUGCUGGAAGGUUAAGAGGAGAUGUGCAAGCAUUGAAUCGAAGCCCCAGUGAACGGCGGCCGUAACUAUAACGGUCCUAAGGUAGCGAAAUUCCUUGUCAGGUAAGUUCUGACCCGCAUGAAAGGCGUAAUGAUUUGGGCACUGUCUCAACAGCCCGCCCGGCGAAAUUGUAGUACCGGUGAAGAUGCCGGUUACCCGCGACAAGACGGAAAGACCCCAUGGAGCUUUACUGUAGCCUAAUAUUGGGUUUCGAUGUUGCAUGCACAGGAUAGAUGGGACACUGGGAAACAAUCGCUUUGGCGGUUGCGGAGUGGCCGUUGGGAUACCAUCCUUGCGAUAUUGGAAUUCUAACCUGCGGCUCUGAAUCGAGUCGGGGGACAUUGUUAGGUGGGCAGUUUGACUGGGGCGGUCGCCUCCUAAAAAGUAACGG
This 2197-nucleotide ribosomal RNA is filed under the name human gut metagenome. RNAcentral's name for it is "bacterial LSU rRNA". It matches the Rfam family "Bacterial large subunit ribosomal RNA", at positions 14 to 2303 of the family's 2925-position model. The record is from RNAcentral.